CUUGUGAUAGCCUAUCAAGCAUCACAAAGGAAUAUCCUUUAUUCUUUUCUCACCUCAACCACCAAAUUAAUUCAUUCUUAUCUUUUCAAUUCACCAUUUCUAUUCCCAACCACUCAUUCAAAUUUCAAAUUUCUACUUUAUCUUUCUCUUUCAUUUAAAUUAUUCAAUUUUCUGAUCACUUUCUCUCUCUUACGUGUGCCCCACCCCAAUCAGAAAUCAAUUCACUCUCUCUCUAUUCUCCCUCACUCACGCUCUCUCUCUUCUCCCUCACUCGACAUCUCCCUUUCUCCCUUUCUCUCCACUCUCUUCUUCUCCUUUCUUUUGGUGAAGCAACAAAAGAAAUACAACCACCAUCACCAUACUUCUUCUUCUCCCAUGGCAGCCGCCACCCAAGGCCAAGCCGCCACCACCGCGAGCCUUCUCCUCUGCUCACGCGAACCACCACCACCUCCAUGCCUCUUCACCGCGAACGCACCACCACCAUAGGUGACCGCCGCCGCCUCUCCUCCGUUCUCCAGCAAGCAUGGCAGCCACAACCGCCAUCACCCACUCCCAGCACCAUGAACGACGCCACCAACGCAAGGACCAUAGUGAAAACGAAACCCUAAAACCGCCACCUUUCUUCUCCGAUCUCCGGCGAACCACUGAGUUUUUGGAGAAACCGACACCGCUGUUGGACUCCCCUUGAUGUCCGCAAGAAAACCCCCCAAUCAAUUUGACCUUCCGACAACCUUCGCCGGAAACCGCCGCCAACCACCGUCUCCUCCGGCGAGAUCUUCGCCGGCGAAUUUGCUGAACAUGGAUUUGAGAGCCCUCGACCUUUUCCUCUCGAAUCCACUGUCAAACAAUUGCUUAGAGCUUGAUGAUCACACUUGGGGAGGGCAGCCAUGACCAGCAAAGUAGAGCCCUCCUACUGCCUUCAACUUUGAUAGGGGUACGAAUGACAGGAGCGCUUGACGAUGAAGCUAAAGAAUAAAAGGAAGCGAACCGACACGGGAAAGCAAAGAUGUGUUGGGAUUGAAAUUGCAGUUAGUAUGAGAAUUGACUAAGGUGGUGAUGCGAGCAGAUGCUACUUCAUGUCGAAGAACUAUAGAAGACUCGAAGAAUAGAGUCGGGUGUAAGGCUAGAGCCUUUUGGGUAAAGAGCUUAUCAUUGUUGGUUAAAUCUUAUAGGAUUAUUUUAUAAGUAUUGUUUAAAGUUUUGGGUAGGUUCCGGUGCAUUGCUAUCUUGCGAUUCUCUGAUGUGGAAAUCGUAGGGAGUAUAUCGGAUUUAUGAGUCAUUGCAUAAUCAGAUUCCUCGUUGAAUCUAAUUAUCUUCGUUCGGUUUGUAAGUUGGGUUCAUCUGUUGUUACCUCCGGGUACUUGCCUUGUUUAAGGCUGGAUGUAAAUUUAUAUACAGUUGGGAGUAUGCAUUUCAUGAUUUAGAAAUACUUUGAAAAGAAAAAAAAAU
This is a long non-coding RNA of Lotus japonicus, 1449 nucleotides long. RefSeq lists it as uncharacterized. Lineage: Eukaryota; Viridiplantae; Streptophyta; Magnoliopsida; Fabales; Fabaceae. The transcript has 4 exons. The record is from RefSeq and is a predicted model, not a curated record.